Molecule: long non-coding RNA, 662 nt
Filed under: Heterocephalus glaber (naked mole-rat)
Lineage: Eukaryota; Metazoa; Chordata; Mammalia; Rodentia; Bathyergidae
Description: lncRNA (ENSHGLG00000036912.1)
Source: RNAcentral
CGCGGGCGGAGGCUUCCGGGGCUGGGGGCGGUGCCACGUGCAGUGCCGGCGGCGCACGGCAGAGGGCGUAGAGGAGCUACCGCCGCCCUCCCGGAUCCCACGGCGCGGUCCGCGACGCCCGCCCUGCCGCCGCCUGGCCGAAGCCUCUCCAAGGCCAAGGCCACCCUCGGCCCCGCCCCGCCGCAACCGCCGCCCCGGAGUGUCGGUCGAAGAUCACCCUAGGCCCACGCCCUCUGCCCGCCCCGGACGCGCCACCCCUUCCUGGGCCUCCCUCCCUCCUUCCGCUCCAGGUCAGCCCCACAUUUCUCCCUGGAGCUCUGAGAGUCUUCCAGAAAAAGUUCCUGAGGAGAGCUCACUGCUGGAGGUCUUGGUCUCUCACACCCUUGGAGCUCAUCUACCCAAGUGAGGCUGAGUGCCCUCCGCCAGUGCAGACAGACCCAGUCCGUGUUGAUGCAAAACCAGAUGAAGAAAAUGAGGCCCAGGAUGGACCUUGUUCUAUCUGGAAAAAGACAGAAAAGGGACCUUAGGACUGGAAAGGCAACUAUAGGAGCAGCACCCCCCUGGUGGCGUUGGGGACCCAAGUCCAGAUUUAGGCUGAAGAAACAGGGCCUCUUAAGGAGGGGGGUUACCUGCAGGAGAAGUGAUGUGAACCACAAGAAACC